AGUUGGGGGAUAGAUGGAUAUUUCUAUCUAAAAAGAGACACUGAUUUACCAUAUGGUGUUUGUGCUGUCAAUGCCAUGGCUUCUUAUCCAACUAAACAAUCCUCUUCACCAUCCCCUUAUCCAUCGCCAAGUGUUCCUCCACCGCCACCUCCUUCAACUCCACCACCACCACCACCUCCAUCUCCUUCACCAAGUGAUUGUGGAGACUUUUCCUAUUGUUCAAGUGAUGAGACAUGCUGUUGCCUUUUUGAAUUCUAUGAUUAUUGCCUAAUAUACGGCUGCUGUGAAUAUGAAAAUGCUGUUUGCUGUACUGGAACUGAAUACUGCUGCCCUAGUGAUUACCCCAUUUGUGAUGUCCAAGAAGGACUCUGCCUCAAGGUACCAAAAUCUGAUCUUUAGCAUCCAAAUUUAGCCUGCAUUUAACAUUAACAAGAAUUUGACUGUUUUACUGUAAAUUCAUUCAAAUUCAGAACACUGAAGACUAUCUGGGAGUAGCAGCUAGGAAGCGAAAGGUGGCUAAACACAAAUUACCAUGGACUAAAAUAGAGGAAACAGAGAAGACAUACCAGCCUCUGCAAUGGAAAAGGAACCCUUUUGCUGCAAUGCGUUGAAAAAAGUGAAAAAUUACAUAUCAUCUCUUAAACCUUGAAGGUUGUUUUCACCUUUUUUAUUUUUCUUUC
This 680-nucleotide long non-coding RNA is filed under the name Gossypium raimondii (Peruvian cotton). RNAcentral's name for it is "long non-coding RNA (GRAI_LNC008490)". The record is from RNAcentral. Lineage: Eukaryota; Viridiplantae; Streptophyta; Magnoliopsida; Malvales; Malvaceae.